AGACGAACCGUCCAAACGUUAUUCGGAAUUACUGGGCUUAAAGGGUGCGUAGGCGGCGCGGUCAGUCGGAUGUGAAAUCGUACAGCUCAACUGUACAACUGCGUCCGAAACUACCGUGCUUGAGGAAGGCAGAGGUGAGCGGAACUCAGGGUGGAGCGGUGAAAUGCGUUGAUAUCCUGGGGAACACCGGUGGCGAAGGCGGCUCACUGGGCCUUUUCUGACGCUGAGGCACGAAAGCUAGGGUAGCGAACAGGAUUAGAAACCCUGGUAGUCC
RNAcentral lists this ribosomal RNA (274 nucleotides) under uncultured bacterium. RNAcentral describes it as "partial 16S ribosomal RNA". It matches the Rfam family "Bacterial small subunit ribosomal RNA", at positions 523 to 796 of the family's 1533-position model. The record is from RNAcentral.